Mandrillus leucophaeus (drill) is the source of this 710-nucleotide RNA transcript. RefSeq lists it as uncharacterized. The transcript has a single exon. NCBI's taxonomy places the organism in Eukaryota, Metazoa, Chordata, Mammalia, Primates, Cercopithecidae. The record is from RefSeq and is a predicted model, not a curated record.
GUGGGGCACGUGGUUCUCUGCUGGAUGCUGAUUAUGGCUGCUGUGGGGCACGUGGUUCUCUGGCGGAUGCUGGUUAUUCCCGCUGCCGGGCACGUGGUUCUCUGAUGGAUGCUGGUUAUGGCCGCUGUGGGGCACGUGGUUCUCUGGUGGAUGCUGGUUAUCACCACUGUGGGGCAGGUGGUUCUCUGGCAGAUACUGGUUAUGGCCGCUGUGGGGCACAUGGUUCUCUGGUGGAUGCUGGUUAUCGCCACUGCGGGGCAGGUGGUUCUCUGGUGGAUGCUGGUUAUCCCCACUGUGGGGCAGGUGGUUCUCUGGUGGAUGCUGGUUAUCGCCACUGUGGGGCAGGUGGUUCUCUGGCAGAUACUGGUUAUGGCUGCUGUGGGGCACGUGGUUCUCUGGUGGAUGCUGGUUAUCGCCGCUGCGGGGCACGUGGUUCUCUGGUGGAUGCUGGUUAUGGCUGCUGUGGGGCAGGUGGUUCUCUGUUGGAUGCUAGUUACUGCUGCUGCGGGGCACAUGGUUCUUUUGUGGGUGCUGAUUGAAUUCCGGACCCAUGUGGCUCUCGGCUCUCUGGGGCCACAGCACACAGGAAGGUCCAUAAUCAGAGGUGUGACCGUGUUCCCUCUCCACUGCCCACCCCCAGCUGUGAGCCCGCCCCUGUCCAUCUGAAGACACCAAGCCAGAAUGCAGGAGUGCUGCUGCGAGAGUAACUU